Spinacia oleracea (spinach) is the source of this 655-nucleotide long non-coding RNA. RefSeq lists it as uncharacterized. NCBI's taxonomy places the organism in Eukaryota, Viridiplantae, Streptophyta, Magnoliopsida, Caryophyllales, Amaranthaceae. The transcript is spliced from 4 exons. The record is from RefSeq and is a predicted model, not a curated record.
CUUUUUCAGUGUUGAACACAUAGAAAAUAUUGGGAUACACUACUAUAAAACACUCAGAUGUUGGCGAAAAAAUUUCUUGGAGCAUCAGAGCCUGAUAUUGACUCUUUGAAGGCUGCAAUCAGCUCUGUUGUUGACGUGAUGCAGGCGAUGGUUUCCUCUGUCUGUUCUGUGCUAUCAAAGGACAAUCUUUCUGGUGGGAACCUGGCUGCUGUUAAGAGUUUGCAACAAAUGUUUCCAGAACCAGUACUUUCAUAAUUGCAAUGUUCCGAAUUAUGACCAAGAACAAACUGAUGAAGUCAGAGCUCAAUAGAUGCGUCAUGUUCUUCUCGUGUGCAUUUUGUGGUGGAUCAAUUAUGUUUUUCGAUUGGAAAUUGUCUACAAUUUUCUAAUUUUAGUGUUUUGAUUUGAAAUUGAAAGAAGUACUAUAUGACAUAGACUUCUUUCUUUUUUCUAUUUUUUUCUUUCUAGUGUGUUGCCAACAUUGCAUAUGACUUUAAAUUAUGAGAAGUCGAGACGUUUAUUUGAAAUGAUAGAAAUAAAAUUGGAUGGUAUAUUCAAUUAUGUUUUUUUAUUUUAUUUUUUAUUUGUAGGGAGAAACAUAUGUACAUUCAUCUUUGAUAUUACAGACUCUAGAACGGUUGUUUUUAUUUUUUUA